GAUGAACGCUGGCGGCGUGCCUAAUACAUGCAAGUCGAGCGAACAGACAAGGAGCUUGCUCCUCUGACGUUAGCGGCGGACGGGUGAGUAACACGUGGAUAACCUACCUAUAAGACUGGGAUAACUUCGGGAAACCGGAGCUAAUACCGGAUAAUAUUUUGAACCGCAUGGUUCUAUAGUGAAAGAUGGUUUUGCUAUCACUUAUAGAUGGAUCCGCGCCGCAUUAGCUAGUUGGUAAGGUAACGGCUUACCAAGGCAACGAUGCGUAGCCGACCUGAGAGGGUGAUCGGCCACACUGGAACUGAGACACGGUCCAGACUCCUACGGGAGGCAGCAGUAGGGAAUCUUCCGCAAUGGGCGAAAGCCUGACGGAGCAACGCCGCGUGAGUGAUGAAGGGCUUCGGAUCGUAAAACUCUGUUAUUAGGGAAGAACAAAUGUGUAAGUAACUGUGCACGUCUUGACGGUACCUAAUCAGAAAGCCACGGCUAACUACGUG
This 497-nucleotide ribosomal RNA is filed under the name uncultured bacterium. Its description in RNAcentral is "partial 16S ribosomal RNA". It matches the Rfam family "Bacterial small subunit ribosomal RNA", at positions 28 to 507 of the family's 1533-position model. The record is from RNAcentral.